CCUACGGGGGGCAGCAGUGGGGGAUAUUGCACAAUGGGGGGAACCCUGAUGCAGCGACGCCGCGUGGGUGAAGGAGCGUUUCGGCGCGUAAAGCUCUAUCGGCAGGGAAGAAGGAGGACGGUACCUGACUAAGAAGCCCCGGCUAACUACGUGCCAGCAGCCGCGGUAAUACGUAGGGGGCAAGCGUUAUCCGGAUUUACUGGGGGUAAAGGGGGCGCAGGCGGCAGCGCAAACCAGGAGGGAAAGCCCGGGGGCCAACGCCGGGACUGCUGUUGAAACUGCGGGGCUGGAGUGCAGGAGGGGCAGGCGGAAUGCCUGGUGUAGCGGUGAAAUGCGUAGAGAGCAGGAGGAACACCGGUGGCGAAGGCGGCCUGCUGGACUGCGACUGACGUUGAGGCCCGAAAGCGUGGGGAGCAAACAGGAUUAGAUACCCCUGUAGUC
RNAcentral lists this ribosomal RNA (441 nucleotides) under uncultured bacterium. RNAcentral describes it as "partial 16S ribosomal RNA". It matches the Rfam family "Bacterial small subunit ribosomal RNA", at positions 338 to 795 of the family's 1533-position model. The record is from RNAcentral.